ACUCCUUUACAAACCCUAAUCUCCACUCAUCUGUGCACCUCCGUAGACUCGAGGAUGGCGUGGACAACUGUCUAUACCUUCCUUGUCUAUGUUUUCAAUACACACGUCUUUUUAUCUUUGAAUGCGUCAUGUAUAAUGAAAUACAACUUUCAACAACGGAUCUCUUGGUUCUCGCAUCGAUGAAGAACGCAGCGAAUUGCGAUAUGUAAUGUGAAUUGCAGAAUUCAGUGAAUCAUCGAAUCUUUGAACGCACAUUGCACCCUUCUGGUUUUUUCCGAAGGGUAUGCCUGUUUGAGUGUCAUGAAUCUAUCAACGUAGUCAAGCUUUGCCUUGCUAUGAUUGCAUGAAUGAAGGUUGCUGGAAAUCUUGUCAGCUCCUUUUAAAUCGAUUAGCGGAAAAUGCUUUCAGCUCUGGUUUGAUAAAUUUUUCUAUGCCUUUGCUGAUGCUAUCAUCUUUCGCUUCUAAUUGUCCGUUUGGACUGUCUUCCAAAGACACGUCUUGAUUUUGACCUCAAAUCAGGUAGGACUACCCGCUGAACUU
Molecule: ribosomal RNA, 540 nt
Filed under: uncultured fungus
Lineage: Eukaryota; Fungi
Description: eukaryotic LSU rRNA
Rfam family: 5.8S ribosomal RNA (bases 145-301)
Source: RNAcentral